AUUGAACGCUGGCGGCAGGCCUAACACAUGCAAGUCGAGCGGAUGGAGGAGGCUUGUGCUUGGCUUCAGCGACCGACGGGCGAGUGAGGACUACGAAUCUGCCCUGUCGAUGGGAAUGAGAUAACGUCGGGGGCCCGGAUACCACAUACGUCAUUAGGUUGAAAGUGGGGGAUCUUCAGUCCUAAAGCGAUUAGAUGUGUCUAGGUCGGAUUAGCUAGUUGGUGGGGUAAAGGCCUACCAAGGCGACGAUCCGUAGCUGGUCUGAGAGGAUGAUCAGUCACACUGGAACUGAGACACGGUCCAGACUCCUACGGGAGGCAGCAGUGGGGAAUAUUGGACAAUGGGCGAAAGCCUGAUCCAGCCAUGCCGCGUGUGUGAAGAAGGUCUUCGGAUUGUAAAGCACUUUAAGUUGGGAGGAAGGGCAGUAAGUUAAUACCUUGCUGUUUUGACGUUACCAACAGAAUAAGCACCGGCUAACUUCGUG
RNAcentral lists this ribosomal RNA (484 nucleotides) under uncultured bacterium. RNAcentral's name for it is "partial 16S ribosomal RNA". It matches the Rfam family "Bacterial small subunit ribosomal RNA", at positions 30 to 507 of the family's 1533-position model. The record is from RNAcentral.